CAAUAGCGUAUGUUAAAGUUGUUGCGGCUAAAAAGCUCGUAGUUGGAUUUCUGUUGAGGGCAUCUGGUCCACUCUAUGAGUGUGUAUCUAGUUUGGCCUCGGCAUCCGCUCUGCAUACGUGUCUGCGCUUGAUUGCGUGGCGCGGAGGUAGGGCCUUUUACUUUGAGGAAAUUAGAGUGUUCACGGCAGGCAGUCGCCUUGAAUAUAUUAGCAUGGAAUAAUAACAUAGGAUCUUGGUUCUAUUUUGUUGGUUUCUAGAGCUAGGAUAAUGAUUAAUAGGGACAGUUGGGGGCAUUCGUAUUGCGGUGUCAGAGGUGGAAUUCUUGGAUUACUGCACGACGAACUACUGCGAAAGCAUUUGCCAAGGAUGUUUUCAUUGA
This 380-nucleotide ribosomal RNA is filed under the name uncultured eukaryote. RNAcentral's name for it is "partial 18S ribosomal RNA". It matches the Rfam family "Eukaryotic small subunit ribosomal RNA", at positions 592 to 976 of the family's 1831-position model. The record is from RNAcentral.